CAUCACCGGGGCUUUGUCCCGGCCGUGAGCCAGCGGGGAAGGGCUCUGGAUUUCUGUCUCCACCUGUCCCUGCCUCACCCACGGGCUGCGGAGAACCCUGUUAGUCACCAGAGUCACCCAAGUGUCAGCCAGCAGUGUCACCCACGUUAACCCAGAGUUAACCGAACCCACACAUUACCCAUGCUUCUGUCAAACCUUUUGAUAACUAUCACAGACACAAAGCUCUGCACGAGUGAUACCAGGAAUACUGAGCCAGCCAUAUGUGUUGCUGGGCAUCAGAUGGAAGCCUAGCCUUUUUCUUCAAACCUUCUGCUUUUAUGCAGCCACCUUUGCUUCACAGCUUCUCAGGUAACCAGACUGAACAUCUGUACAGCCCAUGGCUGGCCCACAUUCUGUCAAAAAAUCUUUAGGGAAGUGACAGACAUCUGUCUCUUCAGAAUGUGGAUACAGAAGAAUUCCUUUGUGUCACCUCAGUACACCUAAUGCUUAGAAAAUGGAGGAGGAGCACAUGUAUGUCUUGUAGAAAUCCAAGAAUGCAAUCCUGGAGCAUGCAAACCGACAGCUUUAGUGUAUUUUAAACACAAAUUCAGAG
This is a long non-coding RNA of Passer domesticus (house sparrow), 592 nucleotides long. RefSeq lists it as uncharacterized. The record is from RefSeq and is a predicted model, not a curated record. The transcript is spliced from 5 exons. Lineage: Eukaryota; Metazoa; Chordata; Aves; Passeriformes; Passeridae.